Molecule: ribosomal RNA, 1106 nt
Filed under: uncultured soil eukaryote
Lineage: Eukaryota
Description: SSU rRNA
Rfam family: Eukaryotic small subunit ribosomal RNA
Source: RNAcentral
CCUGCCAGUAGUCAUAUGCUUGUCUUAAAGAUUAAGCCAUGCAUGUCUAAGUUUAAGUGUUCUUACAACGAAACCGCGAAUGGCUCAUUAAAUCAGUUAUAGUUUACUUGGUCGAUGCUUACUACUUGGAUAACUGUAGUAAUUCUAGAGCUAAUACAUGCAAAAGACCCCAACUCUUCGGGGAAGGGGUGGCAUUAUCCACUUCAACGCUACUCGGGGUUCACGCCCUGUAUUACUUGAAUGGAGAUAAUUGUCCGAAUCGCGAGAACCGUAAGGCGGCGAUAGACCAACCAAGUUUCUGCCCUAUCAACUUGAUGGUAGUGUAUUGGACUACCAUGGUUAUAACGGGUAACGGGGAAUUAGGGUUCGAUUCCGGAGAGGGAGCCUGAGAGAUGGCUACCACUUCCAAGGAAGGCAGCAGGCGCGCAAAUUACCCAAUCUCAGUACGAGGAGGUAGUGACGAUAAAUAACGAUAUGGAUCCUUCGGGGUCCAUAAUCGGAAUGAGCACAGUGUAAAUAUCUUAACGAGGAACAAUUGGAGGACAAGUCUGGUGCCAGCACCCGCGGUAAUUCCAGCUCCAAGAGCGUAUAUUAAAGUUGUUGCAGUUAAAAAGCUCGUAGUCUGAAUUUGAGGAUUCUGGUAGUUUAGGGGCAGGCUGGGUCUUUUACCUUGAAGAAAUUGGAGUGUUCAAAGCAGAUAUUCUUUCGUCUUGCACAUAUUAGCAUGGGACAAUGAAAGAAGACCGCGUCAGAGUCUGGUAGUAACUCGGGCGCGGUAAUGAUCGAUAGGGGCGAUGGGGGCGGUUGGUAUUCAGCGGCUAGAGGUGAAAUUCUUAGAUUCGCUGCAGACUCCCGGAAGCAAAAGCGUUCCGCUACUGUACCCCCGUUGAUCAAGAACGAAAGUUAGGGGAUCGAAGACGAUCAGAUACCGUCGUAGUCUUAACUAUAAACGAUGCGGACCAGAGGUUAAGCCUCAUCCUUUGUACGAUAUUCCUAGCAUCUUUGCGAGAAAUCUUUGAGUUUUUGCGUUCUGGGGGGAGUAUGGUCGCAAGGCUGAAACUUAAAGGAAUUGACGGAAGAUCACCACCAGGAGUGGAAUCUGCGGC